AGUGAACGCUGGCGGUAGGCCUAACACAUGCCAGUCGAACGGCAGCACAGUAAGAGCUUGCUAUUACGGGUGGCGGGUGGCGGACGGGUGAGGAAUACAGCGGAAUCUACUUUUUCGUGGGGGAUAACGUAGGGAAACUUACGCUAAUACCGCAUACGACCUACGGGUGAAAGCAGGGGAUCUUCGUACCUUGCGCGAUUGAAUGAGCCGAUGUCGGAUUAGCUAGUUGGCGGGGUAAAGGCCCACCAAGGCGACGAUCCGUAGCUGGUCUGAGAGGAUGAUCAGCCACACUGGAACUGAGACACGGUCCAGACUCCUACGGGAGGCAGCAGUGGGGAAUAUUGGACAAUGGGCGCAAGCCUGAUCCAGCCAUACCGCGUGGGUGAAGAAGGCCUUCGGGUUGUAAAGCCCUUUUGUUGGGAAAGAAAAGCAGCAGGUUAAUACCCCGCUGUUCUGACGGUACCCAAAGAAUAAGCACCGGCUAACUUCGUG
This 492-nucleotide ribosomal RNA is filed under the name uncultured bacterium. RNAcentral describes it as "partial 16S ribosomal RNA". It matches the Rfam family "Bacterial small subunit ribosomal RNA", at positions 29 to 507 of the family's 1533-position model. The record is from RNAcentral.